Molecule: ribosomal RNA, 777 nt
Filed under: uncultured Thauera sp.
Lineage: Bacteria; Pseudomonadati; Pseudomonadota; Betaproteobacteria; Rhodocyclales; Zoogloeaceae
Description: bacterial SSU rRNA
Rfam family: Bacterial small subunit ribosomal RNA
Source: RNAcentral
GAGCGGCCGAUGUCGGAUUAGCUAGUAGGUGAGGUAAAGGCUCACCUAGGCGACGAUCCGUAGCGGGUCUGAGAGGAUGAUCCGCCACACUGGGACUGAGACACGGCCCAUACUCCUACGGGAGGCAGCAGUGGGGAAUUUUGGACAAUGGGCGCAAGCCUGAUCCAGCCAUGCCGCGUGAGUGAAGAAGGCCUUCGGGUUGUAAAGCUCUUUCGGCCGGGAAGAAAUCGGCGACUCUAACAUAGGCCAUGGAUGACGGUACCGGACUAAGAAGCACCGGCUAACUACGUGCCAGCAGCCGCGGUAAUACGUAGGGUGCGAGCGUUAAUCGGAAUUACUGGGCGUAAAGCGUGCGCAGGCGGUUUUGUAAGACAGAUGUGAAAUCCCCGGGCUUAACCUGGGAACUGCGUUUGUGACUGCAAGGCUAGAGUACGGCAGAGGGGGGUGGAAUUCCUGGUGUAGCAGUGAAAUGCGUAGAGAUCAGGAGGAACACCGAUGGCGAAGGCAGCCCCCUGGGCCUGUACUGACGCUCAUGCACGAAAGCGUGGGGAGCAAACAGGAUUAGAUACCCUGGUAGUCCACGCCCUAAACGAUGUCGACUAGUCGUUCGGAGCAGCAAUGCACUGAGUGACGCAGCUAACGCGUGAAGUCGACCGCCUGGGGAGUACGGCCGCAAGGUUAAAACUCAAAGGAAUUGACGGGGACCCGCACAAGCGGUGGAUGAUGUGGAUUAAUUCGAUGCAACGCGAAAAACCUUACCUACCCUUGACAUGUCUG